Molecule: ribosomal RNA, 941 nt
Filed under: uncultured prokaryote
Description: bacterial SSU rRNA
Rfam family: Bacterial small subunit ribosomal RNA
Source: RNAcentral
UGAACGCUGGCGGCGUGCCUAAUACAUGCAAGUCGAACGAGGUGCUUUUGUAGCAAUACGGAAGUAUCCUAGUGGCGAACGGGUGAGUAACGCGUUGGUGACCUACCCCAAAGUGUGGGAUAACAGUCCGAAAGGAUUGCUAAUACCGCAUGUGGUUGUCGGAUUUAGAAACUGGCAUCUAAAGGAGCAAUUCGCUUUGGGAGGGACCUGCGUCCCAUCAGCUAGUUGGUGAGGUAAUGGCUCACCAAGGCUACGACGGGUAGGGGACCUGAGAGGGUGGCCCCCCACAAUGGAACUGAAACACGGUCCAUACACCUACGGGUGGCAGCAGUAGGGAAUAUUGCACAAUGGGCGAAAGCCUGAUGCAGCAACGCCGCGUGCGCGAAGAAGGCCCUCGGGUCGUAAAGCGCUUUUCUGAGAGAUGAGAAAGGACAGUAUCUCAGGAAUAAGUCUCGGCUAACUACGUGCCAGCAGCCGCGGUAAAACGUAGGAGGCGAGCGUUAUCCGGAUUUACUGGGCGUAAAGCGCGUGCAGGCGGUUCGGUAAGUUGGAUGUGAAAGCUCCUGGCUCAACUAGGAGAGGUCGUUCAAUACUGCCGAACUUGAGGGCAUCAGAGGAAGGUGGAAUUCCCGGUGUAGUGGUGAAAUGCGUAGAUAUCGGGAGGAACACCAGUGGCGAAAGCGACCUUCUGGGAUGUUCCUGACGCUCAGACGCGAAAGCUAGGGUAGCAAACGGGAUUAGAGACCCCGGUAGUCCUAGCAGUAAACGAUGUAGACUUGGCGUCGGUGGGUUAAAAACCAUCGGUGUCGAAGCUAACGCGAUAAGUCUACCGCCUGGGGACUACGGCCGCAAGGUUAAAACUCAAAGGAAUUGACGGGGGCCCGCACAAGCAGCGGAGCGUGUGGUUUAAUUCGAUGCUACACGAAGAACCUUACCCGGGU